Molecule: small nucleolar RNA, 88 nt
Organism: Cucurbita pepo subsp. pepo (vegetable marrow)
Lineage: Eukaryota; Viridiplantae; Streptophyta; Magnoliopsida; Cucurbitales; Cucurbitaceae
Product: small nucleolar RNA Z122
Source: RefSeq, a predicted model, not a curated record
UUUGGGAAAUGAAGACAAAAUUGAAAUGUUCAACAGAGGUAGAUGCUAUGCUAUGCUGAACUAUAUUGCACGUCAGUCUGAUCCCAAA